This 76-nucleotide transfer RNA is filed under the name Streptococcus pyogenes. RNAcentral describes it as "tRNA-Asn(gtt)". It matches the Rfam family "tRNA". From Rfam's summary of the family: Transfer RNA (tRNA) molecules are approximately 80 nucleotides in length. Their secondary structure includes four short double-helical elements and three loops (D, anti-codon, and T loops). The record is from RNAcentral. Lineage: Bacteria; Bacillati; Bacillota; Bacilli; Lactobacillales; Streptococcaceae.
UUCCGGCAUAGCUCAGUUGGUAGUAGCGCAUGACUGUUAAUCAUGAUGUCGUAGGUUCGAGUCCUACUGUCGGAGU